RNAcentral lists this ribosomal RNA (470 nucleotides) under uncultured Anaerolineaceae bacterium. RNAcentral's name for it is "bacterial SSU rRNA". It matches the Rfam family "Bacterial small subunit ribosomal RNA", at positions 897 to 1382 of the family's 1533-position model. The record is from RNAcentral. Lineage: Bacteria; Bacillati; Chloroflexota; Anaerolineae; Anaerolineales; Anaerolineaceae.
AAACUUAAAUGAAUUGACGGGACCCGCACAAGCAGCGGAGCGUGUGGUUUAAUUCGUUGCUACACGAAGAACCUUACCUGGGUUUGACAUAUAGGUUGUAGGGAACUGAAAAGGGACCGACCCUUCGGGAGCCUAUACAGGUGUUGCAUGGCUGUCGUCAGCUUCGUGUCGUGAGAUGUUCGGUUAAGUCCGCUAACGAGCGCAACCCUCGUCGUAUGUUAUAUGUGUCAUACGAGACUGCCGGUAAAAGCCGGAGGAAGGUGAGGAUGAUGUCAAGUCAGCAUGACCUUUAUAUCCAGGGCUACACACACGCUACAAUGGUCUGUACAAUGGGUAGCCAAGCCGCGAGGCGGAGCCAAUCCUGAAAGCAGGCCUCAGUUCAGAUUGCAGUCUGCAACUCGACUGCAUGAAGCCGGAGUUGCUAGUAACCGCAGGUCAGCAAUACUGCGGUGAAUACGUUCCCGGGUCUU